GAUGAAGAACGUAGCGAAAUGCGAUAAGUAAUGUGAAUUGCAGAAUUCAGUGAAUCAUCGAAUCUUUGAACGCACAUUGCGCCCGCCAGUAUUCUGGCGGGCAUGCCUGUUCGAGCGUCAUUUCAACCAUCAAGCCCCCGGCUUGUGCUGGGGACCUGCGGCUGCCGCAGGCCCUGAAAACCAGUGGCGGGCUCGCUAGUCACUCCGAGCGUAGUAAUACAUCUCGCUCAGGGCGUGCUGCGGGUUCCGGCCGUUAAAAAGCCUUAUUUACCCAAGGUUGACCUCGGAUCAGGUAGGAAGACCCGCUGAACUUAAGCAUAUCAAUAAGCGGAGGA
This 335-nucleotide unclassified non-coding RNA is filed under the name soil metagenome. Its description in RNAcentral is "partial contains 5.8S ribosomal RNA, internal transcribed spacer 2, and large subunit ribosomal RNA". The stretch from base 1 to 120 matches the Rfam family "5.8S ribosomal RNA", at positions 35 to 154 of the family's 154-position model. The record is from RNAcentral.